RNAcentral lists this long non-coding RNA (3881 nucleotides) under Solanum tuberosum (potato). Its description in RNAcentral is "long non-coding RNA (STUB_LNC008042)". Lineage: Eukaryota; Viridiplantae; Streptophyta; Magnoliopsida; Solanales; Solanaceae. The record is from RNAcentral.
GGAACUUAAUAAAUUUUGCGCUUUGCCAUUGUUGAAAUUUCCAAACACGCAGAAAGAGCAAAUACAGUUCAGGUAACAAUCUCUUUUCCAAGUUCAAAUUUGAGUCGUAUCAUGUAUGUGUGAUUAUUGCUCUGUUUCAGCUUCUCCUUGGGUUGUAUCAUGUAUGUUUAAAUGACAGUUGAGAGGGACUAACAUAGGAUAAGCAAAUUCAACAAAAAGUACUUUUUCCAACUUUCGCUUUGUUCUUCACCCUUCUCAUGGUUUCUCUGUCUUUAGUAUUGAUUAUUUGUCGGUUUUCUCUCAAUCCCUCCUCUUUCUCCAUUUUUAUUAUUUUCAUGAGUUUUUCUAUUUGGAAUCUCAAAUUUCACCGCUUCUUACUUGAUUGUUCAUCCUUCUAAUUGUGUGCUCUUUGUGUUGGUGCAUAUUUUUCGCAAUUAUUUUUGUUAUUAGUUUACUUUCUUUGAUUGUAAUCAUCAUUACAACUUUUAGAUGGUUUCUAAUUAGAUUUUAUACAUGUAUAUAAAAAAAAAAAAUCUAAUUUACUCAUGCAUGUAAGGUCUCUUUUAUAAAUUUAAUUUUUCCUUUGCGCUGUUAAAAUCUAUGUAUUAGAUGUGCCUUUUUUCUUUUUAUUCUAACAAAUAUACAAAGAUGUACUCUGUAGUUGCAACAACUAAUUUAACUGAGGCACAUAAGGUGUUUGAUAGUAUGCCUAAUCUAACUAAAAAAAUUUAUUGCUUUUUUCCACAGAUUUUCUACAACGUAUUCCUUUGUGCGUGAAUGAUACAAAGGUACAUGAUUUGUUUCUGCUAGACGUGUGUUGUUUAUAUAUUUUUUCCCAAGAAAUACAUUUGAAAGAUCUAUCCUUUAUUUGCAUCUAUUUCAAUUGUAAGUUGUUGCUAUUAGUUUAACUUUGUGUCAGCGAAAAAAACUUAGAUAUAGUGUGCAGUUUUUCAGCAUUCAAUGAAACUGUAAAUAUUAUUUUUUGUUAUAACAAGAUCAAAAAUUGCUCGAAAUAAGAAUGUCAACAUACAAAGGCAUUACAUAGAUUUCAAAAGACUAAGGACAUCGACUGGAUGAUAGAGUAAUGGGAUGGCGUACUAGAUAUGUCACAAUUCACCCGAACAACUUCAAACUAAAAGAGCUUAAUAUAAAAAAAUGAUGCCUUUUAUAUCAUUCAAAAAACUUAGUACCUACUCAACCUGAAAAAAUGAAAUGCCCUUAAAAUAAUUGAUCCUUAAUCAGUUUCUGAGAAAGGUCAGGAAAGUAUAUUAUUUUCUUCGUUCUCAAACACAUUCCUAUAUAAACAAACUUAUUUCUGUGAACCAUCUAUAGCUUUAACAAAAUAAUCUUUGCAUGUUUCCUUUAUUCACAAGAACAAUAUAUAUGAUUCUCUAGACUAGACAGUAAUAUUAUCUCUCUGUCUUAUAUGUGUUGUACGUAUUUAUAGCAUUUCGACAUCACAUCUUCUUUUGUGACACAACAAAUAUUUUGAAAUUUCACUUUUUCCUAUUUGAAUGGGACCUUAUCCACUUUACUAGAGUUGUACGUUGUCGUUUCAAGUAGAAAAAUCAAAAUAAAUUAAUACACCUCCAAGGAAUGAAGAAUGUUCACCAAAUAUGAGCAGCCCCCAUUGUGAAAGACGAAGAACCAGAGCAUUUUCCUCGACAACUUAGUUGAAUAUUCCUCAGAAAUCUUAUUACACUUCUUUGUUGCUGUCAAAUUUGUUAGUUUAAGGAGAUACUACUGCUUCAUGCCUCUGUAAUUUCUAAAAAGGAGAAAGUCAUCUAUCGUUUUAAGUACCUUCUUAGGCUUUUUAUAUUUAAGGGUCUAAGAGGCAAUACAUUGAGCAGAUCAAACUGUUAAGCUUCCCACUAGACGUAAAUAAUCGAAUCAACACCAACCAAUAUAUGAGUUAUAUGAGUGUUUUCUCUGAACAGUAAUCCCCAGAUCAGAAUUGAAAGGACAUACCAGCCUUCGAAGGAUUAUUAGACAUUCCUUCAUGUCAGGAGGAGGAUAAGGAAAAUAUUAUUUAAUAGUCAACUUCUUAAUGUUCAUUUUACAUGGUCUUUCUACAAGUAUAUACUUGACGCUAAAUUGACAUAUCAUGGUAUCCAUAUUAUGAAUUUGCCGCUUGAGGUGCAGUUUUUUUGUGUGUAUGUGUGUGAUUAUGGGCAUUGUGAUUAAACAUUUGUUCUGCUCAUAUUUCUUUUUAUGUAUGAGAGGAUAUAAAUGUUAUUUAGACCUACAUCCAGUGUUAAUGCUAAUGAAGAAUAGUUGAUACAUUUUGAACGCAAUGAGGUAUCAGUUCUUCAGCGACAAUUCAAAUUUUAGUAUUUUUGUUACUGAGGUUAUAAUUGCAAUUUGUUUUAUGAAAGUAAUUGAUUAUGGACUAAUCCUGAAGCAAAUAAGCAACAGAAUGUCACUUGGUUGCUGAGAAUUAGGUGAUAACUGUUAGCCACUCUCUGUUAAAUGUAUUUUUUAAAGGAUUCAGCGAGGAUCUAAUCUUUAUUUUUCUCGACAAGGAACUUAAGUUGGUAAUUAGCAAUUGUCCAGAUAUCGAUCAGAUUUUUCAUUAUAAUCUUAUUUGUUAAUUCAUGUGGUAAUCCUAUCUUUGAUAGUUUUCCGUCAAUAUAAAGAAAGAGAUGUUUCUUGUGUUCAAUCUUUUCCUUGCUUUGUAGUUGAUGACUUGAGGCAAAUACAAAAUCUUCUGCAUAUAGUGCAAUAUCAUCUAUUAUUAAUUUGUUCGAAAAAAUUGUUUCAGAUUUAAGCAAGAAAAAUAAAGUUUGUCUUCUCCAUUUUAUCUCCAAGACCUCGAAGGUAGUUUGCAGCUUUCAUUUGAUUACAGCUACAUGUUAUAUCUCCUGCAAACGUCUAACAAAUUUUUGUCAACUUUUUCAGGUGUCGUUUGAAAGGGUUUAUUCACUGCAAGAAAUUUCAAGCUCCAAGAAACUUUAGACCCACAAUAAUUACACCACUCCUGAUCAAUUACCUACAACACAAAUGUGAUAAUUAUUUUAUCAUCUGGAAUUAGACUAUGAUUGAACUCUUGAUGUUGAAGAUUUCUACCAAUGAAAGAUAUGUAUUGCUCCUCUCCAAGUUACUUAACCUCUUUUUGUACCAUCUUAAUUUACUUGUAUAUGUAUUUCUUAAAAUACCAGUGAAGUUCAUGUUGCUUCUUUGUCCAAAUUGACUUCUCUAGCUUUUUUUUUCCUAUGUGCAUAUUUAAUUUAUAAUAUUGAAAGCUUCACAGGUGAUCUUAGUAAAAAAAAAUUAUGUUUACACCACUACUAUCAUUUAUAUUUAUUGAUUGAUGAUGAGAGUGACAUUGUAACUCUCUUCAUUUGCUUUUAUUUUCUAGGUUCUGAGAUGGUAGACGAGGAAACAAAAAGAAAAUAAGUACUUUAUGAACAUGAUCUGUACACUAGACAUAGUCCUAUAAUCAUUUAUCUUAGUUGAAACAUAUGUAUUAUGUAUUUAUAUCAAGCAUGUUCUAACAGAGGAUGGUUGCGGUUAAGACUUGAGAGAUUGAAUUGAUAAUAUGGAGUCUCAAGAGUCUUUUUGAGAAUUAAGAGCUAACUAAUAGCAUUUUCAUUUUUGUAAAAAGGUAGAACAUAAUGUGUCAGCUGAUACGCUUAGUUCAUAAGUUCAAGAAAUUCUUUAAGUUAUUCGUAAUUGUCUAUGUUGUGUUCACACGGUUUUUAGUCCAAAUGUUCAACUUCGAGUCCUUUUGAUGCUUUUGCUUUGUCUUUUGAGGUUUCUCAAACAUGUAAUUGUAUCUUUUGGUGUAUGAAGUAUGCUGUGAAACCUUACAGGUUAGUUGUUCACAAGACAAAGUUCUAACUAUUUCAUUCUGAAGACUUCUUGAGAGAAUAAAAACGAUG